UCUUACAGCCAUAUCACCCUGCUUUAGCCAUAUCACCCUGCAAUUCACAACUGGCAACCCACUGAAGCUCAGCAGGUUUGAGCCUGGUCAGUACCAGAAUGGGAGACCUCCUGAGAAAAACUAGGUUGCUGCUGGAA
RNAcentral lists this ribosomal RNA (137 nucleotides) under Lepisosteus oculatus (spotted gar). The record is from RNAcentral. Lineage: Eukaryota; Metazoa; Chordata; Actinopteri; Semionotiformes; Lepisosteidae.